UGAUUAUGACCACCGUAUUCAAAAUAAAAUGAAAUCCAAUAAAUCACAUGUAAAACACCCCUAAUUAACCUGAAUCGGACAAUUUACCAAGAGGUUUCCCAUUUUAUCCCCAACAGCCCCAUCUUCGGAGUCAGCAUAACAAUGCUAAUAUAGAAAAAUGAUAAGGUGAUGUACCUGCAAGCCUCCUUGAGCAUACAAGCGUCUUUGCAUUAGCAAGAGAAUUGUCGGCACACUGUUCCCUCUUGAGUCAUAUGACAACUGCAUAGAUUCAGUGGAAACUCCGAAAACAGUUGCGUUGCAUAAUGAUAAAAUUCAAAUCAAUAGGCAAAGCAAGACAACAAUCAUAUGAAAUAGUUCACUGCUUUUAAUUGGCAUGAUGUAAAGCUAGAAAAAAACAGGAACUUAACAAACACAGCUUCAGGGAUAAAAGGAUUAUCAAGUGACUUGUUGUUGGAAAAGUUACUUGAAGGUGCCAUUGGUGUUUCUUUGGACUAGCAGUGAAAUUUGAAACAGAACAACCAACAUGUUAAAUCCUAGAAUGCAUCUAGCUCACAACUGAUCAAGUGGGUGCUUGUGAAUACACACACAACUUCAACCAUAAUCAAGGAACCAGUGCAAGCGAUCCAGGGGGGAGGGCAUCAACUCAUCUGUAUUUUAGUUGAGUUGUGAAUAAUCUUGGUCUUUUUAGUUAUAUUACUAACAUGAAACAAAAAGGAAUUUAAGUCUAUAAUCAAGGGGCAGACAAGACUUCCAUAAGAAAUAGUGAAUGUUGUGCUGGUAUCAAAGUUUAACCAUAUACUCCCAUAAAACAAAUGAAAAAUGGCUCUAGAAAUCAAGCAUUUGUACAAUGGUCCACGAAGCUAUAUCUAUGCAUCAAUCCAUGCAUAACAAGGUUGAAACUCAAAAGUAGCGGACUUUAUAUGGAAAAGUCCAUGUUUUGUGGAUUCAAAUGGCAGGCCAGCAACCACACCUUUCAGUUGAAUCUCUUUAAUUCAAUUAUUGGUUCUAGAAAUUAUUUCUGCAGCAGAACUUUACAGUUAAUUGCCCUCCCUUUUUUCCCCAUAAAAUGGAAUUUCAGAAAAAACAUCAAACUCCAAUGGACAAAAAAGGAAUGAAGAACCAUAAAUCAAUUAUAAUAAAAUCCACAAAUUCAAGACUGGAUGGGGCAAUAGAACCUCAAAAAAAUAAAUCCAUCACUCGGAUACAGCAACACUAAAUUUCAAGAACAGGGAAAAAUUACAGCGUGCAAAGAGAGGAAAAAACCUCAGCGUGAAAAGAACGUCGUGUCGCCGUCGAUUAUGGAAAAAUAAUGCAGAUGAGGGGCAAGCAAGGGCUGGUGAAAAGAACGUCGUCGAUUGUU
This 1360-nucleotide long non-coding RNA is filed under the name Populus tremula. RNAcentral describes it as "long non-coding RNA (PTRE_LNC000351)". Lineage: Eukaryota; Viridiplantae; Streptophyta; Magnoliopsida; Malpighiales; Salicaceae. The record is from RNAcentral.